GACGAACGCUGGCGGCGUGCUUAACACAUGCAAGUCGAACGGAAAGGCCCUGCUUUUGUGGGGUGCUCGAGUGGCGAACGGGUGAGUAACACGUGAGUAACCUGCCCUUGACUUUGGGAUAACUUCAGGAAACUGGGGCUAAUACCGGAUAGGAGCUCCUGCUGCAUGGUGGGGGUUGGAAAGUUUCGGCGGUUGGGGAUGGACUCGCGGCUUAUCAGCUUGUUGGUGGGGUAGUGGCUUACCAAGGCUUUGACGGGUAGCCGGCCUGAGAGGGUGACCGGCCACAUUGGGACUGAGAUACGGCCCAGACUCCUACGGGAGGCAGCAGUGGGGAAUAUUGCACAAUGGGCGGAAGCCUGAUGCAGCAACGCCGCGUGCGGGAUGACGGCCUUCGGGUUGUAAACCGCUUUCGCCUGUGACGAAGCGUGAGUGACGGUAAUGGGUAAAGAAGCACCGGCUAACUACGUGCCAGCAGCCGCGGUGAUACGUAGGGUGCGAGCGUUGUCCGGAUUUAUUGGGCGUAAAGGGCUCGUAGGUGGUUGAUCGCGUCGGAAGUGUAAUCUUGGGGCUUAACCCUGAGCGUGCUUUCGAUACGGGUUGACUUGAGGAAGGUAGGGGAGAAUGGAAUUCCUGGUGGAGCGGUGGAAUGCGCAGAUAUCAGGAGGAACACCAGUGGCGAAGGCGGUUCUCUGGGCCUUUCCUGACGCUGAGGAGCGAAAGCGUGGGGAGCGAACAGGCUUAGAUACCCUGGUAGUCCACGCUGUAAACGGUGGGUACUAGGUGUGGGGUCCAUUCCACGGGUUCCGUGCCGUAGCUAACGCUUUAAGUACCCCGCCUGGGGAGUACGGCCGCAAGGCUAAAACUCAAAGGAAUUGACGGGGCCCCGCACAAGCGGCGGAGCAUGCGGAUUAAUUCGAUGCAACGCGUAGAACCUUACCUGGGUUUGACAUGGAUCGGGAGUGCUCAGAGAUGGGUGUGCCUCUUUUGGGGUCGGUUCACAGGUGGUGCAUGGCUGUCGUCAGCUCGUGUCGUGAGAUGUUGGGUUAAGUCCCGCAACGAGCGCAACCCUUGUUCACUGUUGCCAGCACGUUAUGGUGGGGACUCAGUGGAGACCGCCGGGGUCAACUCGGAGGAAGGUGGGGAUGACGUCAAGUCAUCAUGCCCCUUAUGUCCAGGGCUUCACGCAUGCUACAAUGGCUGGUACAGAGAGUGGCGAGCCUGUGAGGGUGCGCGAAUCUCGGAAAGCCGGUCUCAGUUCGGAUUGGGGUCUGCAACUCGACCUCAUGAAGUCGGAGUCGCUAGUAAUCGCAGAUCGGCAACGCUGCGGUGAAUACGUUCCCGGG
Molecule: ribosomal RNA, 1343 nt
Filed under: uncultured bacterium
Lineage: Bacteria
Description: 16S ribosomal RNA
Rfam family: Bacterial small subunit ribosomal RNA
Source: RNAcentral